RNAcentral lists this ribosomal RNA (239 nucleotides) under uncultured bacterium. RNAcentral describes it as "partial 16S ribosomal RNA". It matches the Rfam family "Bacterial small subunit ribosomal RNA", at positions 95 to 334 of the family's 1533-position model. The record is from RNAcentral.
CCGGCGCACGGGUGAGUAACACGUAUCCAACCUGCCGUCUACUCUUGGACAGCCUUCUGAAAGGAAGAUUAAUACAAGAUGGCAUCAUGAGUCCACAUGUUCACAUGAUUAAAGGUAUUCCGGUAGACGAUGGGGAUGCGUUCCAUUAGAUAGUAGGCGGGGUAACGGCCCACCUAGUCUUCGAUGGAUAGGGGUUCUGAGAGGAAGGCCCCCCACGUUGGAACUGAGACACGGUCCAA